CUUCUCCCUCAAAUCAAGUAGGACUACCCGCUGAACUUAAGCAUAUCAAUAAGCGGAGGA
RNAcentral lists this ribosomal RNA (60 nucleotides) under Kodamaea derodonti. RNAcentral's name for it is "[Candida] derodonti partial 26S ribosomal RNA". It matches the Rfam family "Eukaryotic large subunit ribosomal RNA", at positions 1 to 57 of the family's 3401-position model. The record is from RNAcentral. Lineage: Eukaryota; Fungi; Ascomycota; Pichiomycetes; Serinales; Debaryomycetaceae.